AAACUCAAAUGAAUUGACGGGGACCCGCACAAGCGGUGGAUGAUGUGGUUUAAUUCGAUGCAACGCGAAAAACCUUACCCACCUUUGACAUGGCAGGAAUCCCGAAGAGAUUUGGGAGUGCUCGAAAGAGAACCUGCACACAGGUGCUGCAUGGCUGUCGUCAGCUCGUGUCGUGAGAUGUUGGGUUAAGUCCCGCAACGAGCGCAACCCUUGCCAUUAGUUGCUACGAAAGGGCACUCUAAUGGGACUGCCGGUGACAAACCGGAGGAAGGUGGGGAUGACGUCAAGUCCUCAUGGCCCUUAUAGGUGGGGCUACACACGUCAUACAAUGGCCGGUACAGAGGGUAGCCAACCCGCGAGGGGGAGCCAAUCCCACAAAGCCGGUCGUAGUCCGGAUCGCAGUCUGCAACUCGACUGCGUGAAGUCGGAAUCGCUAGUAAUCGCGGAUCAGCAUGUCACGGUGAAUACGUUCCCGGGUCUU
RNAcentral lists this ribosomal RNA (481 nucleotides) under uncultured Allobrachymonas sp. RNAcentral describes it as "bacterial SSU rRNA". It matches the Rfam family "Bacterial small subunit ribosomal RNA", at positions 897 to 1382 of the family's 1533-position model. Lineage: Bacteria; Pseudomonadati; Pseudomonadota; Betaproteobacteria; Burkholderiales; Comamonadaceae. The record is from RNAcentral.